RNAcentral lists this long non-coding RNA (278 nucleotides) under Elaeis guineensis (African oil palm). RNAcentral describes it as "long non-coding RNA (EGUI_LNC047661)". The record is from RNAcentral. Lineage: Eukaryota; Viridiplantae; Streptophyta; Magnoliopsida; Arecales; Arecaceae.
CCGACAGAUCCGAACUCUCUAGCAAGUCACGACAAUGGCCACCACCCUACUCCACUCUCUACAACAGAUUCCUUCCACUACUCUCUGGCAAGUCGUGACAACGGACACCACUCCACUCUCCGUAACAAACUCCAUGUGGCCCUGAACGACCCCUGAUGCCACUACUCUCCGUAACAAACUCCAGACGGCUCUGAACAGCCCACUAUCAGGCAGUUACAGACGUCGCUGUCAAUCAGUUACGCCCUCCAUCUAUAAAAAGGGACCCCCAGAUACGUUCU